GUCUAUGGCCAUGCCACCCUGAACAAGCCCGAUGUCUGAUCUUGGAAGCUAAGCAGGGUUGGACCUGGUUAGUACUUGGAUGGGAGACCACCUAGGAAGACCAGGUGCUGUAGGCA
RNAcentral lists this ribosomal RNA (116 nucleotides) under Pteropus alecto (black flying fox). The record is from RNAcentral. RNAcentral also lists the same sequence under 1 other name. Lineage: Eukaryota; Metazoa; Chordata; Mammalia; Chiroptera; Pteropodidae.